AAGUCGUAACAAGGUUUCCGUAGGUGAACCUGCGGAAGGAUCAUUAUUGAAAUAAAUUUGAUAUGGUUGUUGCUGGUUCUUAGGAGCAUGUGCACACCUGUCACCUUUUACCUUUCCACCUGUGCACAUAUUGUAGGCUUGGAAAACCCUCGCUCUCAGCGGAUGCAAGGAUUGCUGUGUGUGUCUAACCAAGGCCAGCUCUCCUUAAAUUUCCAGGUCUAUGUCCUUUUUAUAUACCCCAAUAGAAUGUUUACAGAAUGUUGUCAAUGGGCUUUAAACUGCCUAUAAAACACAAUACAACUUUCAGCAACGGAUCUCUUGGCUCUC
This 327-nucleotide unclassified non-coding RNA is filed under the name air metagenome. RNAcentral describes it as "partial contains small subunit ribosomal RNA, internal transcribed spacer 1, and 5.8S ribosomal RNA". The stretch from base 1 to 46 matches the Rfam family "Eukaryotic small subunit ribosomal RNA", at positions 1786 to 1831 of the family's 1831-position model. The record is from RNAcentral.